Molecule: long non-coding RNA, 981 nt
Organism: Gadus morhua (Atlantic cod)
Lineage: Eukaryota; Metazoa; Chordata; Actinopteri; Gadiformes; Gadidae
Exons: 2
Source: RefSeq, a predicted model, not a curated record
CACGUUACUUAAAGCCCAUGGUGCAGGUUAACCGGAAGUUUUGAUUAAUGGGUACAUAAAGCACUCAAAAUAUGUAUAUAAAGUUAGAAAUGUCUCCAAAAUGGUGUUAAAGUCCAGUUUUUGUAGUUUUUGGUUAGUAACGGUUAUUUUUUACGCAAUUUGGCGAUGACGUCACGUAAGGUAGACGCAUUAGAACUAGCAUUAUGGUGGACGGGGAUGAGGAAGAGGUAGCAAGACCCACUGUCAACAUUUAUGAUGGCCCACAGCCAUAUAAUUUCGAACCGGUUAGGCGUAUGAGGGGAAAUGAGGAAAUCCCGAGAGCCGAUGGCCGUCAAAGACAAAUAAAUGCAUGGUCAGAGGAGAAUGAGUAGAGAGUUGGUGAAGUGUCCUGGUGUCUGUGUGGGCGGUGUCGUCCCAUGGAAACUGUGGUGGAGAGCUUGUGUUGUAGGGAGGUGAGCGCGUUUUGGUCGCUGGUCGAGGAGCUCACCCCGCGGCCAGCAGAUGUAACGUGCCUAACGCAGCAUCCUGGAUUUGAGGCAUGCUGCCUGAAUCCGUUUGUGCUAAAAAUAGCAUACACACACUUCAGGCAGGAUCAUGGUCCCCUUCAAGCCAGCACGCACGAGUAUGUUCAUGGUUUAUGUUUACUUUACAAAUCUUUUUACACUGAGUCAUUUGAACCAACAGUUAUAGGUGACAGGAGAUGUGUUGCAUACACAAUAAACAUGCAUAAGAAACAGGCUUAAAAUGACGUUUCCAACCUACUUACAGUUUUAAACUUAAGAAUCUUUCCUACUUAUCCCUAGGCAAUACCGGUACACUGCGUACAGGCAAGCUAUACGCUGGGCUUAUGGCGUUUUAGGGAGGAGUAUAAGGAAGCCUCUACCCUCUUGUGUGGUUUCAACCAUCAGACAGCAAUUCCAGAAUGGUGACCAGACCUAUCAGGGCUUUCAAUGGCCUUGUUUGGAUUAAAAUGAAUAAAAA